This 253-nucleotide ribosomal RNA is filed under the name uncultured bacterium. RNAcentral's name for it is "partial 16S ribosomal RNA". It matches the Rfam family "Bacterial small subunit ribosomal RNA", at positions 524 to 776 of the family's 1533-position model. The record is from RNAcentral.
UACGUAGGGGGCAAGCGUUGUUCGGAAUCAUUGGGCGUAAAGGGCGCGUAGGUGGUUCUGUAUGUCUACCGUGAAAGCGUACGGCUCAACCGUAUUUUGUCGGUAGAAACUGCAGGACUUGAGGCUGGGAGGGGCUGGUGGAAUUCCCUGUGUAGCGGUGAAAUGCGUAGAGAUGGGGGAGAACACUCGUGGCGAAGGCGGCCAGCUAGACCAGUUCUGACACUGAGGCGCGACAGCGUGGGGAGCAAACAGG